Molecule: ribosomal RNA, 216 nt
Filed under: Anopheles eiseni
Lineage: Eukaryota; Metazoa; Arthropoda; Insecta; Diptera; Culicidae
Description: partial 16S ribosomal RNA
Source: RNAcentral
GAUCUUUAUUUUUAUAAAAUAUAAAUUAAAAAGAAUUUUUAUAUUUAUAUUUUAAAUAAAAUUUUACUGGGGUGGUAUUAAAAUUUAAUAAACUUUUAUUUUAAUUUAACAUUGAUUUAUGAAUUUAAGAUCCUGUAUUAUGGAUUAAAAAAUUAAGUUACCUUAGGGAUAACAGCGUAAUUUUUUUAGAGAGUUCAUAUCGAUAAAAAAGAUUGC